GGUAUUGCGCCGGACGAACGGAUAACUCUGAUGACGUUAAUUAUGGAACACUUCCCUAUACCU
Molecule: transfer RNA, 63 nt
Filed under: Tonoscolex birmanicus
Lineage: Eukaryota; Metazoa; Annelida; Clitellata; Crassiclitellata; Megascolecidae
Description: tRNA-Ile
Source: RNAcentral